GGUUUCUGCUAAGUCGCAAGACGAUGUAUAGGAGCUGACGCCUGCCCGGUGCUGGACGGUUAAGGGGAUCUGUUAGAGUAAUCGAAGCAGUGAACUUAAGCCCCAGUAAACGGCGGCCGUAACUAUACCGGUCCUAAGGUAGCGAAAUUCCUUGUCGGGUAAGUUCCGACCCGCACGAAAGGCGUAACGAUUUGGGCACUGUC
RNAcentral lists this ribosomal RNA (203 nucleotides) under Clostridioides difficile. RNAcentral's name for it is "partial 23S ribosomal RNA". It matches the Rfam family "Bacterial large subunit ribosomal RNA", at positions 1818 to 2020 of the family's 2925-position model. Lineage: Bacteria; Bacillati; Bacillota; Clostridia; Peptostreptococcales; Peptostreptococcaceae. The record is from RNAcentral.